This 68-nucleotide transfer RNA is filed under the name Marmota monax (woodchuck). Its description in RNAcentral is "tRNA.Ala". The record is from RNAcentral. Lineage: Eukaryota; Metazoa; Chordata; Mammalia; Rodentia; Sciuridae.
GGAUUGUGGCUCAGAGGUAGAGCGUUCGCCUUGCAUGGGUGAGGCACUGGGUUUGAUCCUCAGCACCA